CCCUUAGUUAUCCUAGGUCGCACGCGCCAUACAAUGUGGCGCACAACGAGUCUCCUUGGCCGACAGGAUGUCCCGCGAGCGAUCGGCGACGCAGCCAGCUCGGUCUUCGGGCAGACUCGGUGAGAGUGGCCCGUCCUCCUGGGAGGGCGAUCGUCGAUGCCUCGGGAUUCUGGGCAAUCUGGCAGAGCGCUACGUGACUGGGCUAGACUUUUGUAAUUUUUGGUCUUGAACGAGGAAUGCCUAGUAAUCGCAGGUCAGCAUCCUGCGAUGAUUCGGUCCCUGCCCUUUGUACACACCGCCCGUCGCUCCAUCCGUGGCAUGCGCCGGUGAAGAGGGGGAGGCAGCGUCGGCCGUGUAACAGCGGAUCGUACGUGGAACCCCUCUGAACCUUCGCACGUAGAGGAAGGAGAAGUCGUAACA
Molecule: ribosomal RNA, 420 nt
Filed under: uncultured eukaryote
Lineage: Eukaryota
Description: partial 18S ribosomal RNA
Rfam family: Eukaryotic small subunit ribosomal RNA
Source: RNAcentral